Long non-coding RNA from Hibiscus syriacus, 298 nucleotides. RefSeq lists it as uncharacterized. The record is from RefSeq and is a predicted model, not a curated record. The transcript has 3 exons. Lineage: Eukaryota; Viridiplantae; Streptophyta; Magnoliopsida; Malvales; Malvaceae.
CCUUCUAGAUAAACAUAAGAUAAUCACUAUAAUAAUAUUGUUGUUAUUGUUAAUCAUGCUAUUUAACAUCCUUUUGACUUGCAUUAAUCUCACUAUUUCCCUGUUAUUUGUUGACCAAGGUUCGGGAUCAUGCAAGGAAACUCAUAGAGAAAUACGUACAGAGACCGUUCUUUGGAUAUGGAAGCAAUGUAGAAAGAACGAGUGUUCGGGAACUAGAGGAAGGGAAGAAAUGGUUGAGUGACACAUUUUAUCUCAUAAGGUGCGAGAAUGAUUCUCUUCCAAGUAUCGAGUGGGUUCU